RNAcentral lists this small RNA (574 nucleotides) under Vigna angularis var. angularis. Its description in RNAcentral is "Non-protein coding transcript". The record is from RNAcentral. Lineage: Eukaryota; Viridiplantae; Streptophyta; Magnoliopsida; Fabales; Fabaceae.
UUGCCUUUUAUCACUUUCUAUUGAAGCAGUCAGUGAGAGGAAAACAAAUAGUGAGAAGAGGUUAUUUUUCAUCCAAUGACAUGAUAACUUUAUUGUAUAAUCUUUAACAUAUGAUUACAAUGUAACUAAUACGUCAAAGUUAAUAUGCAAUUAACUCUCAUGGACAUCAUAAUUACAGGAGUUCAAUCAUCAGAAGAAAAGCUCAAAGCAGAGAUAACCGACCCUGUUGUUGCAAACGUUGACGCAACAUCAUGAUAAUCUUUCCAUGAGGUUGUCACCUUCAGAGAUGGGUACAGCCACGUUUUAACCGAAUCCACAAACGAGUUUGGAUCUAAGUUCAGAAUGGCUUCCCAAUCAACCUGUAAACCCUGUGGGAUGCUUCCCGUGAACUCCAUGUUCGCAGCAAGUAACAAGCCCAGCAUAACGAUAAAUCCAACUGCAGCAGAUCCCCUAGACAGUGGCAUGAAGUUAUACCAGUAAUAUGUCAUUCUUAAAAUUGCAUCUCGCACGUUUUCAAGCAUGUCGAAAUCAGUAGACCCGUAAUUUUCACCACAGUAAGCUUUGCAGAUAGUCU